GACUUCAUCUCCAAGGGCAGCAAGUGUACAUCCCACGCCUGGGGAGUGUUAGGGAAGCCCUCUGCUCCUGCUGGGGGCUUCGCUGGCUCAGAUGGUAAAGAGUCUGCCCGCAAUGCAGGAGACUCAGGUUCAAUCCCUGGAUCAGGAAGAUCCCCGGAAGGAAGGCAUAGCAACCCACUCCAGUAUUCUGGCCUGGAGAAUCCCCAUGGACAGAGGAGCCUGGCUGGCUACAGUCCAUGGGGUUGCAGAGUCGGACACAACUGAGCAACUAACCCCUCUGUUCCCACCACCUCAUUUGCUUCCUCUGGGUCUGAAGCAGGUGUGCUCUCUGGUCGGGGCUGGGUUCUCCAGGUACUACCAGGCUCAAGGCCUGAGAGGUCCCUGCCCUGGGCUUCCUGCCGCCUCUCUCCUCCCACCUGGCAGCGAAGCAACUCCCCUGGGCCAGGCGCUGGGGGAAGGGCUCACAGAGGGAGAGCGAUAGAAACCCUCCGUGAUGGAUUGAAGGAGACGAGACCAUUCCCGGCUGGCGGAGGAGUUGCGGCUGCAGUGACAGGUGGCGAUGUUUGUGCUCUGAACCUGCAAUCUCAGCUAAUGGGAGAGAUUGAGGAGUUUGGAAUGAGACACGGCGUGGGCCACAGCCCCACGGGCCAAGAUGCUGCUGGCAUAGGCCGCGUGGCUUCGUGGGGUUCCUGAAGGAGGGAGUGGGUGCCACAUUCCUGGGCAGGGGAGAGAAUGUCUUUGGCUGCCUAUGAGUGUCAGGAGGACCAAGCUGGAGCAGCAGGUGGAUUUUUUAUCAUUGAGUCACCUGGGAAGCCUAUUCCUCAAGGAUGUUGGCCUGUGACUUUCUUUUCUUGAGGUAUCCUUUUUCUGGUUUCUGCGUCUGGAUAAUGC
This is a long non-coding RNA of Bos taurus (domestic cattle), 891 nucleotides long. The record is from Ensembl. Lineage: Eukaryota; Metazoa; Chordata; Mammalia; Artiodactyla; Bovidae.